GACGCGCGGCCGGUGCGUGGAUGAUGAUGAACGAUAUAGCGUACGGUUGCUGAUCCGUGCGCGCGUUUGAUCGCCGCCGCGCCCGCCGCGCGAGCAAGUCGACGACGUUUACCACCUGUUUGUGCUAUCCGACCGAGUGCGUGUUUAGACUUUUGUUGCGAACUAGUUGUCCUAGUAGUACUCUAGCAGUAUGUUUCCGUGGUCGAAGUCGGGAGAGGGUCUGGAUGCUGGAUGUACUAUGGUGUGUUCUUGUGGAUGUCUGCCCGUUUAUGAUGAAUAAAUUGCCAAGUUUGGGCGAAGUGUGCAACUGUUCUUGUGGAUGUCUCUUAUCGCUUCUGAAAUGCAGCUUGCAGAAGAGACUAGGAGUGGGCACGAUCUGAACCCAGGGGCAUCUCUUGUGUUUCUCUACAUAUAUGACUAAAAUUAAAAUUAACUUACUACGAACUUACCAAGUGACUAUGGUACAAGCAUUGAUCCCCUAUGCAAGCAUACGGUUAAUUUGUUAACAAGAGAUCUGAUGUCCAAGAGAUGGACAAUAAUGUAGUGCAACAUAGUGUUUUUAUGAAACGUUUGAAGUGAACAAACAAAGCAAUGUUUUUCCUUCUUUUCUUUUCCAUGAAGGAAAUGCUUGUCGAUGUUUCUAGUGGCUAUAUCGCCUUCGGGGUGAUGCUGUUUCAGGGAAUGACUGGAUAUUCUGUUGUUCUGUUCCGUUAUGAUUUACGGACGCGCGGUUUGUAGAUGGGGAGAUUGUUCAAAGAUCUCAAGUCUUCCCUCAAAAAAUUAAUAUCUUAGUCUCUUUUUUCUUUCCCUUUUUGAAAGGAAGAUCUCUAGUCUAGAAAGGAAAACAAAGGUGUUCCAGGCGAUGACUGAAUGCUCUGCCGCUCUGUUCUGAUGUGAUACACACACAAGCGGUUUGUUGUGAUUUACGAACUCUGCUGCUCUGUUCUGUUGUGAUAUACGUAGACACGCACGAGCGGUUUGUUGUGAUUCACAGACGAGGGCUUUGUGGAUGGGGAAAUUGUUCAAAGAUAUCUCUUGUCAAGGAGAUUGCUCAAAGAUCUCUAGAAAAGGAAGACGAAAGUGGAGCCUGUGACACAAAUAGCAAAAGAUGGGCCAAAUUUAGAGCAAAUGCACCUUAAUUUUCUUCUCUUUCUAGUUCAAGGCUCUAUAAUAUUGAGGCUUAAUUAUCUCUAAUUAAGCUCUCAUGUUUUAUAGUAAGUAAAAUAGAGAAAAAAAUGUACACAACAUAUAUGGCAAUAAAGUAUCUUAUAUUUUUUAAAUAUAUAUCAAGAUUAUUUAAUAUAACUAUAUGAUAUCGAGCUAAUAGCGAGCGAGCAGUGGCUCAACUCGUUUCUCCGUCGAGCUACUUAAAGUGGUCAUAUUAAGCUCAUUUCUUUUAGUUGGCUCAACUCGUUUCUCCGUCGAGCUACUUAAAGUGCUCAUAUUAAGCUCAUUUCUUUUCGAGUCGAUCUGGGGUCAAGCCAAAAAACGAGUUCUUUUCGUGUCGAUCUUGGGUCAAAUCAAUAUACGAGUUGAUCUCGAGCGGCUCAAGCAAGCCAAAAUACGAGUUAAUCUCGAGCGGCUUAUGAACCUCGAGCUUUUCUUGCAGCCCUACUUGUGUCAACGGUUCGGUGCUCAAUAGUGCAUGUGGGCUCUUCUUUGUAGUCAUGACUUGGGAUGUUAUGGUGAUCUUGCUGGCGUGGUGCUUCGAGGAGCCGUCAGCGUCGAUUUGAUUGUGUCCAUGGUCGAGUUGGUGUGGUUGCCCUGGUCUAGAUAUGCCUUGAUGGCGGUGAUCCAGAUUUGGUCGGUGUCAGAGUAUUUUUCGACAGAUCUUGAUAGGUUAUCGCUUGACGAGUAGAUCGGAUGGCAACAUGUACAAAGGUUCAGGCCCUCGGUAGACGAGAUAAUACUCUAAUCCCGUUGCUCGUGUAUAAUGAUUGUACACGGGUUGCAAAAGGUCGAGGGAUUGAGCAAAGCUCUAAGGUUUUUGUCUCCAUUCGACUAGCCUAGCCCCGACUUAUAUGGAUUUCAGGGACUAGGGUUACAAGACCUAAGUCGGUAAGGAGUCCUCGAGAUGUCGGUUUCCUUAUCUUGUAAUCCAAGCCUUCCAUACACAUAUGUUAUAAGGCCAUGGGUCGGUUUGAUUGUCCCGUGAUAUAAUUGACCUUAGGGCCCAGAACGGCCCCAAGGUUAGGCACCCUUUGUUUUGUAACACCGUCAGUCGGCUUGGUGGUGGUGGUGUUGUAGAAUGGGGUGCAACGACCUUUUGCGGCGGCCUUGCUCGGCCCCGACACCCUCACAAGGCUAGGAGCGUUGCGUGGGUUUAGAACUGCGUCUCUAGAUCCAGGCAUGGUGGGCCCUAGGUUGACGGGUUUGGAGAGAGCUCUCUCUAACAAGGUGGCAUUCGGUGGAGGCGUACUCUACCGUCGGUGCUUGGUCCGUGUGGGCGUGUGACCACUCUAUCUUAUGGUGGCACCCUCGCUGCACAUUGUUGCGGCCACCGAAAGGUCUUCAUGAGGGUUUCUCUCUUCGAUGUAGUGGUGACAUUCUGACAACCCACAAGUAUAGGGCUUCGUUUGUAGUCUUUUUCGAUAAGUAAGAGUGUCGAACCCAACAAUGAGCUAAAGGUAGAAUUAAUAUUCUCUCAAGUUCUAUCGACCACCGAUACAACUCCACGCACACCAACAUUUACUUCACCUAAAACAAGAAAUAAAACUAGUCUGCAAGAAAAAAAUAGAAAUACUUUACAAGAUAAUAAAAGUUAGUUGUUUGAUAGAGAGUUUUUGGAGAACAAUGAGAAGGAUUGUCCAUAGGCAAUUGAAUAUAACACGUGGGAUAACUAUCAUAUGCAUCAGGGAGAGGCGUAAGCUAACACACUUUUCGUACUUGGAUCACUUGCACUUAUGACUGGAACUCUAGCAAGCAUCCGCAACUACUAAAAACAUUAAAGUAAAACCCAAUCACAACAUUAAGUGUAAAGUCCCCUUUAAUCUCAUACGCAACAACCCACUUACUCGGGUUUAACCUUCUGUUACUCGCAACCCACUAUAAGCGAAUCAUGAACAUAUUGCAAUACCCUAAAGCGGGAAUUCCCACACGUGUGUGUGG
This 3108-nucleotide long non-coding RNA is filed under the name Triticum aestivum (bread wheat). Its description in RNAcentral is "long non-coding RNA (TAES_LNC024549)". Lineage: Eukaryota; Viridiplantae; Streptophyta; Magnoliopsida; Poales; Poaceae. The record is from RNAcentral.